CUGCCCUCACAUCCACUACCCUCACAGUCACUGCCCUCACAUCCACUGCCCUCACAGUCACUACCCUCACAUCCACUACCCUCACAGUCACUACCCUCACAUCCACUACCCUCACAGUCACUACCCUCACAUCCACUACCCUCAGUCACUGCCCUCACAUCCACAAACCACACAGUCACUACCCUCACAUCCACUACCCUCACAGUCACUACCCUCAACAUCCACUACCCUCACAGUCACUACCCUCACAUCAACUCCCCUUACAGUCAUUCUUCCAACAUUCACAACCCUUACAUCUUUAAACUAGCACGAAAACCCCUCAAACUCACUAUACUCACAUCCACAACCAUCAUAUAUGUUCCACUCACAUCCACUGCCCUCACAUCCACCCCCCUCAUUUAAUACCCUGACAUUCACUUUCCUCACAUUCACUAUAUCAACUACCCUCAAAUCCACCACCCACACACUGAAAAUACGGAAGCUCUAAGAAUGCACCAGGUGAGGUGAAUAACUGGUUUACAUUCAACCUCUGGAAAUAAACGGUAUGCCUAUACAGUCACACAUUUUCUAGGGGCCACAGACCUACCGGUGCAUGUCUUUUAACUACUGCUGCAGUCUCUCAGGCCGCAAACUCAUUAGCUGGGGAGCUGUAUGUUAUUUUCUAUGAUCUAAGACCCUGGGGUUUUGAGCUAGGUCUUUUGGGGUAGCCUCCAUGGUAUGUGCCGCGGAGAUAAUAUUUGCUUAUUCUAGAACUUUUUCUUGAAAGUGUACAUACAACCUGGUUGGAGUUUUUUGCCUUAUUAUACAAUAAGCUUACAGUGAUUGAAACAUGCCUUUUUAGAUUAUAUUCUCUUUGAUAUAAAGACUAUACUUUUUUUGUAAAUAGCCAAAAAAGCUGUAAACUUUGUUGUAUCUUGUACAGUGUAAAGUUGGGUUAUUUAAUAUUUUGUAAUAAAUUCAAUAUUGGUGUACAAAAUG
This is a long non-coding RNA of Gadus macrocephalus (Pacific cod), 978 nucleotides long. RefSeq lists it as uncharacterized. The record is from RefSeq and is a predicted model, not a curated record. The transcript is spliced from 2 exons. NCBI's taxonomy places the organism in Eukaryota, Metazoa, Chordata, Actinopteri, Gadiformes, Gadidae.